This 201-nucleotide long non-coding RNA is filed under the name Salvator merianae (Argentine black and white tegu). RNAcentral's name for it is "lncRNA (ENSSMRG00000006228.1)". Lineage: Eukaryota; Metazoa; Chordata; Lepidosauria; Squamata; Teiidae. The record is from RNAcentral.
UUGGAGAGAAGCAAAUUUAGAAAAAAAUUCUUUCCUGAAAGGCUUUGUGGCAUUUGGAGGAGGGGCACAUCAAUGCCCAGGCAGAGUUCUCUUCACUUGGUGGGGACACAGCAGCCUGUAGGAUCAUGCCGAAUUUGGUAUAAAUUGAGAGCAUAAAAACGAUCAUUGAUGCCCAUAAGAAUAUUGACUAACUGCACUUUG